GAAAUGCGAUAAGUAGUGUGAAUUGCAGAAUUCAGUGAAUCAUCGAAUCUUUGAACGCACAUUGCGCCCUUUGGUAUUCCAAAGGGCAUGCCUGUUCGAGCGUCAUUUGUACCCUCAAGCUUUGCUUGGUGUUGGGCGUCUUGUCUCUAGCUUUGCUGGAGACUCGCCUUAAAGUAAUUGGCAGCCGGCCUACUGGUUUCGGAGCGCAGCACAAGUCGCACUCUCUAUCAGCAAAGGUCUAGCAUCCAUUAAGCCUUUUUUUUCAACUUUUGACCUCGGAUCAGGUAGGGAUACCCGCUGAACUUAAG
This 308-nucleotide unclassified non-coding RNA is filed under the name plant metagenome. Its description in RNAcentral is "partial contains 5.8S ribosomal RNA, internal transcribed spacer 2, and large subunit ribosomal RNA". The stretch from base 1 to 105 matches the Rfam family "5.8S ribosomal RNA", at positions 50 to 154 of the family's 154-position model. The record is from RNAcentral.